GCCACAUGGACGAACACUGAUAAGUUACGGAUUUUUUACUCCAAGGAUUCUCUUAUGUCCAACCUUAAAAAGUACUAGCCUUACUCUGUUGAAAACAUUUUAUAUGGGAGAAUGAUUUAAAGCCCCCCUCCAGUACAAUACUGGCAAUUCUUUUUAAAUUCCAGCUUUCUCCAUAAGGUCUGGAAGACAGGUAAAUUAGUUAGACACAUUUUUAAAAAGGGGGGGGAACCCCCCAUUAAAAGUCCCAGUUCAACUCAAGCUAUUAACAUUAAGAAGAGAGUAAUAAAUAGUUUAUGAUGAAUAUUACCCAAAUAUUUGAAAAUGCCUCAAGAGGUCAGUCCUUCUUUAGAGACAUUGAUUGAAGCAAAAUAUAUCUCCAUCUCAAGCCGGUCAGUUUGAAGGGUCUAUGGGUGGCCAAUAUCUUCCCAAUACUGGACUAAGAUGGACCUUUGCUGGAGCAGCACAAUGGUUAUAUUCUUAGAAGACCAUUAUUUCUAACAUCUAAAAAUUAGCUUAUUUCAUCACUAUUUACCACAGGCAAAUUACUGUACAUGAUAAUUAAAAAGUACAUGUUAGAGCAAUGAUUAGCCCAGAAACUGAUUUAGCAUUUUUAUUGUGGUUCAUCUUUUCUCUAUAAAAAAAUAGAGCAUAGUCAUCCUCCUGUAUUUGUUCUCCUUUUUCACAAGGAUCUGCCACCCCCGAAAUUGGAUGAAAAUCUCAUUAGUAAAGCUAUAAUGAAUCUGCAGCAAAGCCCCCUUCAAGGCUGCGUGCUUACGGCCAUUUGCCUGUUGUCUGACUUUUCAUCAGGAACCUGAAAUUACCCAUCAGGAUUGCCAUAAAAGGAAGAUCUUACUGGAUAAAAGAGAGCCUGACAUCAUCUCUCUACAUCAAUAUCUAGACUGGAUCAAAACACAAACUUUUCAAAAAGGAGAGAAUUUCUGCAACAUGUCAGAGAAUCUGUCAGCGCUCGGAAGAGUUCUUUAAAUGUUGUAUUGCAAGUGCUGUUGGAGAACUUGUUUUUAAAACA
Molecule: long non-coding RNA, 1027 nt
Organism: Pantherophis guttatus
Lineage: Eukaryota; Metazoa; Chordata; Lepidosauria; Squamata; Colubridae
Source: RefSeq, a predicted model, not a curated record